This 76-nucleotide transfer RNA is filed under the name Escherichia coli. Its description in RNAcentral is "tRNA-Lys". It matches the Rfam family "tRNA". From Rfam's summary of the family: Transfer RNA (tRNA) molecules are approximately 80 nucleotides in length. Their secondary structure includes four short double-helical elements and three loops (D, anti-codon, and T loops). Lineage: Bacteria; Pseudomonadati; Pseudomonadota; Gammaproteobacteria; Enterobacterales; Enterobacteriaceae. The record is from RNAcentral.
GGGUCGUUAGCUCAGUUGGUAGAGCAGUUGACUUUUAAUCAAUUGGUCGCAGGUGCGAAUCCUGCACGACCCACCA